This 667-nucleotide long non-coding RNA is filed under the name Prunus dulcis (almond). Its description in RNAcentral is "sRNA ncRNA". The record is from RNAcentral. Lineage: Eukaryota; Viridiplantae; Streptophyta; Magnoliopsida; Rosales; Rosaceae.
CAACAUUUCAUUAAUUUUUUGUUUCGUUAUAGACAAAGUGAACCUAACACACAUAUUUCAACAAAAGUAGAGAAAAUAAAUAAAAGUACAACCCAACUCCCUUGCAAUUUGCAAGUAUUAUUUCCUGAAUUUACAUUUUAGUUGCCUUUGAAAUUUAAUUAUACAUUCUAUAUACUGUUAUAUACAUGCACUGGUAUGAAUACAGAAGGGAUUCACAUUGCUCAAUGGAUACUAGAACAGUCUGUCUGUGGCUGCUUAUCACAAAUUUAAACUUAGAAACUAGUUUGCGUAGUCUGGCUUGCCAGCAACAUAAUCAAUGAUUCCUUGACCUUGUGUUUCACCGUGUGUUUCUGUUGACAGCUGAGAAACACCACCAAAGGCGAUUACUGCCACCAAGAACAGAGUUGUGGAGGCAAAGAGAGGCCAAAAGUAACCUAAAAUGGAUAGAAGCCGAGGGGCUGCAUACAGAAACAAGGAAAAUAUUAAUGAAACGAAGAUUGCUAUGCCAAAAUGAUAUCUGUACUUGAAAAGCUGUGGUGAGAUAUCAUCCAUGGCAAUGGCUUGCUUUCUUCUCACGUACAAUCACAACUCUCAACUCUCAACUCUCAACUCUAGAGAGAGAGAGAGAGAGAGAGAGAGAGAGAGAGAGAGAUUAUGGUUGUAUCUG